GACGAACGCUGGCGGCGUGCUUAACACAUGCAAGUCGAACGGAAAGGCCCUGCUUUUGUGGGGUUCUCGAGUGGCGAACGGGUGAGUAACACGUGAGUAACCUGCCCUUGACUUUGGGAUAACUUCAGGAAACUGGGGCUAAUACCGGAUAGGAGCUCCUGCUGCAUGGUGGGGGUUGGAAAGUUUCGGCGGUUGGGGAUGGACUCGCGGCUUAUCAGCUUGUUGGUGGGGUAGUGGCUUACCAAGGCUUUGACGGGUAGCCGGCCUGAGAGGGUGACCGGCCACAUUGGGACUGAGAUACGGCCCAGACUCCUACGGGAGGCAGCAGUGGGGAAUAUUGCACAAUGGGCGGAAGCCUGAUGCAGCAACGCCGCGUGCGGGAUGACGGCCUUCGGGUUGUAAACCGCUUUCGCCUGUGACGCAGCGUGAGUGACGGUAAUGGGUAAAGAAGCACCGGCUAACUACGUG
RNAcentral lists this ribosomal RNA (468 nucleotides) under uncultured bacterium. RNAcentral describes it as "partial 16S ribosomal RNA". It matches the Rfam family "Bacterial small subunit ribosomal RNA", at positions 28 to 507 of the family's 1533-position model. The record is from RNAcentral.